Molecule: ribosomal RNA, 253 nt
Filed under: uncultured bacterium
Lineage: Bacteria
Description: partial 16S ribosomal RNA
Rfam family: Bacterial small subunit ribosomal RNA
Source: RNAcentral
UACGGGGGGGGCAAGCGUUGUUCGGAAUUACUGGGCGUAAAGGGCUCGUAGGCGGCCAACUAAGUCGGACGUGAAAUCCCUCGGCUUAACCGGGGAACUGCGUCUGAUACUGGAUGGCUUGAAUCCGGGAGAGGGAUGCGGAAUUCCAGGUGUAGCGGUGAAAUGCGUAGAUAUCUGGAGGAACACCGGUGGCGAAGGCGGCAUCCUGGACCGGCAUUGACGCUGAGGAGCGAAAGCCAGGGGAGCAAACAGG